Molecule: ribosomal RNA, 450 nt
Filed under: uncultured bacterium
Lineage: Bacteria
Description: partial 16S ribosomal RNA
Rfam family: Bacterial small subunit ribosomal RNA
Source: RNAcentral
GUGGGGAAUCUUCCGCAAUGGACGAAAGUCUGACGGAGCAACGCCGCGUGAGUGAAGAAGGUCUUCGGAUCGUAAAGCUCUGUUGUAUGGGACGAAUGUUGGAGGCGUGAAUAAUGCCAUCAAAUGACGGUACUGUACGAGGAAGCCACGGCUAACUACGUGCCAGCAGCCGCGGUAAUACGUAGGUGGCGAGCGUUGUCCGGAAUUAUUGGGCGUAAAGGGAGCGCAGGUGGGAAGGUAAGUCUGUUUUAAAAGCGUCGGGCUCAACCCGAUGAGGGAACAGAAACUAUUUUUCUUGAGUGCAGGAGAGGAAAGCGGAAGUCCUAGUGUAGCGGUGAAAUGCGUAGAUAUUAGGAGGAACACCAGUGGCGAAGGCGGCUUCCUGGCACAAUACUGACGCUCAUGUGCGAAAGCUAGGGCAGCGAACGGGAUUAGAAACCCUAGUAGUCC